RNAcentral lists this ribosomal RNA (446 nucleotides) under uncultured bacterium. Its description in RNAcentral is "bacterial SSU rRNA". It matches the Rfam family "Bacterial small subunit ribosomal RNA", at positions 330 to 793 of the family's 1533-position model. The record is from RNAcentral.
GCCAGACUCCUACGGGAGGCAGCAGUGGGGAAUAUUGCACAAUGGGGGAAACCCUGAUGCAGCGACGCCGCGUGAGUGAAGAAGUAUUUCGGUAUGUAAAGCUCUAUCAGCAGGGAAGAUAAUGACGGUACCUGACUAAGAAGCCCCGGCUAACUACGUGCCAGCAGCCGCGGUAAUACGUAGGGGGCAAGCGUUAUCCGGAUUUAUUGGGUGUAAAGGGUGCGCAGGUGGCAGGGCAAGUCAGAUGUGAAAGCCCGGGGCUCAACCCCGGUAUUGCAUUUGAAACUGUCCGGCUAGAGUGCAGGAGAGGUAAGCGGAAUUCCUAGUGUAGCGGUGAAAUGCGUAGAUAUUAGGAGGAACACCAGUGGCGAAGGCGGCUUACUGGACUGUAACUGACACUGAGGCACGAAAGCGUGGGGAGCAAACAGGAUUAGAUACCCCAGUAC